Tachysurus fulvidraco (yellow catfish) is the source of this 656-nucleotide non-coding RNA. The record is from the annotation of a RefSeq genome assembly. Lineage: Eukaryota; Metazoa; Chordata; Actinopteri; Siluriformes; Bagridae.
ACACACGCAUACAUACAUACACGCAUACAUACAUACAUAUACACAUACGGGCACACACACGCACACAUGCACAGCACAGACACUCAACAUGGUUACUGCUCUCAUUAUCACGAUACUUUUAUAUUUCACAGGUUCAGGCGUUUGUUCAGUCAUCCAGAAUCCUCAGGAUAUUAUAAAAAAUCAGCAUGAGUUUGCUGAGAUCAAAUGUGCACACACUGUAAAAGACUAUAACCGUAUACUGUGGUACAAACACGGUCAGGACACAGGAUUUCAAUUCAUGGGAUAUAUUUUCAUUGAGUCUCCAAAUCCAGAGGCAGAUUUUAAAUCAAAGGUCAAGUUCAGCGGUGAUGGGAGAAACAACGCUUCUUUGACCAUUAACAGUGUUUCAGUGAACGACAGUGCUGUGUAUUUCUGUGCAGCUUAUUACACAGUGCUGUAAAUCAGCUCACUUAAUUACAAAAACCUUUAUCUGAUCUACGUUACAGACAAACCACAACACCUGCAGCUGUGGCUGGAUUCGAAUUAAUGCCAGUAAACAACAAAUAGCUUUGAAGUCAAUAUUAUUAUUUGAAUUUCAUACAGUAAUCACACAGAGCAUUUAGAUCUCAUAAUAACAAAUGUAAAGUAAUAGAUUCUUACAUAAUGUAUACAGUAAU